Molecule: ribosomal RNA, 492 nt
Filed under: uncultured bacterium
Lineage: Bacteria
Description: partial 16S ribosomal RNA
Rfam family: Bacterial small subunit ribosomal RNA
Source: RNAcentral
AGUGAACGCUGGCGGUAGGCCUAACACAUGCAAGUCGAACGGCAGCACAGUAAGAGCUUGCUCUUACGGGUGGCGAGUGGCGGACGGGUGAGGAAUACAUCGGAAUCUACUUUUUCGUGGGGGAUAACGUAGGGAAACUUACGCUAAUACCGCAUACGACCUACGGGUGAAAGCAGGGGAUCUUCGGACCUUGCGCGAUUGAAUGAGCCGAUGUCGGAUUAGCUAGUUGGCGGGGUAAAGGCCCACCAAGGCGACGAUCCGUAGCUGGUCUGAGAGGAUGAUCAGCCACCCUGGAACUGAGACACGGUCCAGACUCCUACGGGAGGCAGCAGUGGGGAAUAUUGGACAAUGGGCGCAAGCCUGAUCCAGCCAUACCGCGUGGGUGAAGAAGGCCUUCGGGUUGUAAAGCCCUUUUGUUGGGAGAGAAAAGCAGCAGGUUAAUACCCCGCUGUUCUGACGGUACCCAAAGAAUAAGCACCGGCUAACUACGUG